UCCAGUUUGUCUGAGGGGCUGCCCACGCUCCUCUUUGAUGAGCCUCAUCAUGAAUAAAGAUGGCUUCAAACUGAGUUCUGAGGAGAACCUGGAAAGCGUUGGGGAUCUUGAAAGUCUCUGGCUCUCUGCUUCUCUGGUCCAUGUCCCCACUCCCACGUGCAGAAAAUGGAAUUGUAUGCUCAAAGCAGAUCCUGUUCCAGAGCCCUCUGCUGCAAGCAGACAAUGAGAAGGCACAAAGCAGACUCCACUUUGGUCACCAAUUACAUUGCUUAAAGUUACAGUUACUUUCCCCUUCCCU
This is a long non-coding RNA of Pogoniulus pusillus (Red-fronted tinkerbird), 298 nucleotides long. RefSeq lists it as uncharacterized. The transcript has 3 exons. The record is from RefSeq and is a predicted model, not a curated record. Lineage: Eukaryota; Metazoa; Chordata; Aves; Piciformes; Lybiidae.